UACGUAGGUGGCAAGCGUUGUCCGGAUUUAUUGGGUUUAAAGGGUGCGUAGGCGGUUUUUUAAGUCAGUGGUGAAAUACGGCAGCUCAACUGUCGAGGUGCCAUUGAUACUGGGAAACUUGAGUACUGAUGAGGUAGGCGGAAUGGACGGUGUAGCGGUGAAAUGCUUAGAUAUCGUCCAGAACACCGAUAGCGAAGGCAGCUUACUAAGGAGUAACUGACGCUGAGGCACGAAAAGUGUGGGGAUCAAACAGG
Molecule: ribosomal RNA, 254 nt
Filed under: uncultured bacterium
Lineage: Bacteria
Description: partial 16S ribosomal RNA
Rfam family: Bacterial small subunit ribosomal RNA
Source: RNAcentral